Molecule: RNA transcript, 3101 nt
Organism: Dendrobium catenatum
Lineage: Eukaryota; Viridiplantae; Streptophyta; Magnoliopsida; Asparagales; Orchidaceae
Gene name: F-box/LRR-repeat protein At1g67190
Exons: 3
Source: RefSeq, a predicted model, not a curated record
UUCAGCCGUAGGCCGUAGGGUUUGCUUUUACAAUUUCCUCUUCUCUGGUUGUUCCCUGUUCGACUAAGCCUGCUUGGCGCGUGAGAUAAAAUUUUGAACGAAUCGAUAAAAGAUUUCGGCUUUGUUCGGGACGGCUUUCUGACUGCCGUUCCUUCAAAUUGGAUCGGAAGUAACGACGACGACGGAAGGGAGCUCGCUCAUUGCGAAGCUUAUGCAGGAAGGCAAGAUGUGGGGUAUUACAUAUGCUGGGAACUCAGUUUUUCUAACAGCUCUAGGAUCUUUUGAACGCCACACAGGCUUCUUUAUCUACAGAUAGUUGGCCUCCAAUGACAUGCAAAGAGGUCUAUUCCUCUGAACAGUAGAGACUUCCUUUCGAGUGCCUAUGCUCUCCGAAUCGUUCAUGGAUAACCUUCCUGUGGAAGUUGUUGGUAACAUUCUAUCCCAUCUAGGAAGUGCAAGGAAAGUUGUGGUUGCCUCUUCAACUUGCCGCAAAUGGAGAGAAUCCUUUAGGAAGCACCUCCACACCCUUUGCUUUUCCUCUGAUGAUUUCCCUGCUUACCGUGAUCUCACUACCAGGCGGCUUGAAAUAAUCAUAACGCAGACUAUAUUCCAAACAAUCGGCCUUCAGUGCCUUUCGAUCCGUAUGGAUCAUGUACAGGAAUUCUCGGCUGCACCUGUGAUUGCUUGGCUCAUGUAUACGAGGGAAACCCUGAGGAGUCUAUCUUUCAAUGUUUGCACCGUGCCUACUGUGAACAUUUUGGAGAAAUGUGGUCGACAGAAACUUGAGGUGUUAGAUUUGGACCACAAUUCCGUCUUUGGGGUUGAACCAAGCUACCAGAGAUUUAAUUCACUGAGAUCUUUUUCCCUUAGACAUGCUAGUGUCUCCGCUUUAGAUUUGAGCCUGCUAUUAGCUGCCUGUCCAAAGAUAGAGACUCUCACACUUGUAUCGCUGGAAAUCGUGACAUCAGAUUCACUAUCAUCAAUGGAACUAAGCAGCCUAACAUUGAGGAGCUUAUAUGCCAAAGCAUUAGCUGUCGAUAAAAUAAUUUUGGAGGCUGAUAAUUUGGAGAAUUUGCAAUUAGAUACAUUAAAUCUUGACCUGUUUGAGCUAAUUGGAAAAGGUGCCUUGAAAAUUUUUAAGCUUGAUGAUGUCAGUAUCACACAUUUGGAUAUUGGUGAGAGCAUGGACCACUUGGAGGUCAUAGAUGUCAGCACCUUUACAAUCACCUGGUCAAAGUUCUACCAGAUGCUUUCCAGGUCAUCUAAACUUAGAAAACUCCGGCUUUGGGGUGUAGUUUUUGACGAUGAGGAUGAGAUGAUGGAUUCAGAGACUGUUGCUAUUUGCUUCCCUCACCUUAAGCAUCUUUGCUUAAGCUAUGACACAAGGGAUAGCUUGUUUAAUAAUGGUUUACAUGGCUCAUUAUCUCUUAAAAAUGUUACAACAUUGGAACUGGGAUGGUCGGUAAUAGGUGAGCACUUUGGUCAAUGGGUUUUCGGGAUGGUUGAUAGGUGUCCUAACCUUAAUAAGUUAGUCAUUCACGGUGUUCUAUCUGAGGCAAAGACUCGAGAAGAAUGCCAAAUGCUUGCAAAUUUUACCUCAUCUGUAUUUUCGGUCAUGAGGAAAUACGUACAUGUUGAUGUGCUUUUUGAAUAUGAAUGAGUAUAUUCCUGCAAAGGUUCAUAUCUUCGUUCUUCAUCAUUUGUACAAAGAUGCACAUCGUACUCAAGGUCCAACCUGACACGAAUAUUGUCGGGUUGCCCGGCAGCUGCCUCUUGCUCACUUUGUAACCAACUAAAUUAUCUCAAUUGCUUAACAUCUGGACUAUUGCUUCUGAAGUAAAGGUAAGGUGUGUUUGAAAUAGGGCAGUUACUUUGAUGAAUUCUUCCGUUGAAUAAAGAAGAGUUAGCUUUGAGUACUCAAUUCUGCUGGCUUUUCAGGUAAGCAUACGUUAAUGGAUUGAAUUUUUGGCCCAUGCUCAUUUUUUAAAAAUUUUAAAUAUUGUUUUAUCCAUCUCGUUGAAUAUUAAUAUAUCUAAAAGUAUUUUAUGUCAAAAAAUGUUAAAUAAACUAGCUGAUGAGCUGAUGAGCUGAUGAGUGACUGACUCGAAGUCGACUUAUUAACUCAUCAAGUUAAGAUAACGAGUUAUUUAUGCAGUUGAGCUUAAGAAGCUCACAAAUAUAUUUAACUCAUGACAGCCGUAAUCCUUGUGUUAAAUGCACAACAUCCUUCCUUUUUCAAUAUUAUGAAUAUCCAUCCCAUUUCAAUAUUUAUUUGCAGUUGAAACUGUUUGGAAAGAAUUUGACGCCUUGUUUGACAGUUAUGUUGUACUUAGUUGUUCAUAUUGAACCAUCUGCUAAGUCUACCAAUUCCACAACUUCUCAAAUUAGGUAUGAGAACCUUGCUUUUUGGUGUAACCCCUCCCCUAGUGCAGCUCUGGUUUACCUUUUUAAUGCAUCCUUCCGAACUAAACUUCAGUAGGUAAGCUCUCAAUUGUUUUGAUUUGAUUUAAAAUAUUAAUUAUUAUAAGAAAAAAAAAAAGAAUAAAAUUUAUAUCCGAAUAUUUCAAUACAAAUUAUCUUAGAACCAACAAAAAAUUAAUGAAUUUGCUAAGGGAUUAACUAUGUAAAAAAAGAGAGAAUCCCAAUUUCUUAAAUUUUGUCUCGUUCCACACUUUUGGCAGCACUCAUGGCUGCAGCGCCGGCGGUAGGCUCUUUUGCUCGCUGGAUUCCUCUUGGAUUGUCUUCUUCUUCCUCCCGAAACCUAGAUGUCUCUAAAUUUAGGCAAGGUGGUGGUAUCUCUCAAUAGAAAUAUGUCUCAAAUGCUCCACUGGUAAUUAAAUAACCUUUGUCUCAUAUUUUGAAAUCGUUGUCCCCGGUUGCAGGCAAAGGCAAGAGCAUUGAAAUGGAUAAUGGUUUGCCGCCUCAUUAUACUCCUACUUAUGGAGGUAAGAUGCGUGUAGAUAGACCUAAUGAUUUUGAAGCUUCUUCUUCCUCAGGAAUGAAGUUUUUUGUGAAUAGUUUGGUAAUAUUAUUUACAAAUCUUAUAUGGUGUAUGUUGAGGUUUUGCCUGUGAAAGUUAAUUGUGAUAAGGUUUCAGCCAA